GACACAUCCUAUGAUAAAUCAGAUAACUGAGAUACAUAUCAGACGUAACAUUACAACUUGUAUCAGCACAAUAGGAUGCUAAGUUAUGCGUGAGAGAGAGAGAGCGCGCGCCAGCUCCCUCUGAUGCAUUUUCAUGACAGCGCGCUGAAAGAUGGGCAUGGACAGAUUUUACUAUAGAUUCCUAUAAAGUUCUCAUUAUAAAUGUAUGGCAGAUUUGUGCUAUAUUUUCAUCUACGUUAUUAAGUGUAAUAGUUGUAAUUAAGUUUUAUUUUUAAGUUAAGUUUUAUUUUCCAUAAACCAGCUGCGCGUUUUCGAAGCCAUAUGAAUUGCAUUUUAUGCCCACAAAUACGACGGAAAAAAAGCUUGGCUGCAUUAUUAUAACAUCAAUAAUAAAAUAAUAACAAUAAUAAUAGAA
This is a long non-coding RNA of Carassius carassius (crucian carp), 415 nucleotides long. RefSeq lists it as uncharacterized. The record is from RefSeq and is a predicted model, not a curated record. The transcript is spliced from 2 exons. Lineage: Eukaryota; Metazoa; Chordata; Actinopteri; Cypriniformes; Cyprinidae.